RNAcentral lists this ribosomal RNA (916 nucleotides) under bacterium N5. Its description in RNAcentral is "bacterial SSU rRNA". It matches the Rfam family "Bacterial small subunit ribosomal RNA", at positions 48 to 948 of the family's 1533-position model. The record is from RNAcentral.
CUAAUACAUGCAAGUCGAGCGGACUUGAUGAGAAGCUUGCUUCUCUGAUGGUUAGCGGCGGACGGGUGAGUAACACGUAGGCAACCUGCCCUCAAGCUUGGGACAACUACCGGAAACGGUAGCUAAUACCGAAUACUUGCUUUUUUCGCCUGAAGGAAGCUGGAAAGACGGAGCAAUCUGUCACUUGAGGAUGGGCCUGCGGCGCAUUAGCUAGUUGGUGAGGUAACGGCUCACCAAGGCGACGAUGCGUAGCCCACCUGAGAGGGUGAUCGGCCACACUGGGACUGAGACACGGCCCAGACUCCUACGGGAGGCAGCAGUAGGGAAUCUUCCGCAAUGGGCGAAAGCCUGACGGAGCAAUGCCGCGUGAGUGAUGAAGGUUUUCGGAUCGUAAAGCUCUGUUGCCAGGGAAGAACGUCCUUGAGAGUAACUGCUCAAGGAGUGACGGUACCUGAGAAGAAAGCCCCGGCUAACUACGUGCCAGCAGCCGCGGUAAUACGUAGGGGGCAAGCGUUGUCCGGAAUUAUUGGGCGUAAAGCGCGCGCAGGCGGUCAUUUAAGUCUGGUGUUUAAUCCCGGGGCUCAACCCCGGAUCGCACUGGAAACUGGAUGACUUGAGUGCAGAAGAGGAGAGUGGAAUUCCACGUGUAGCGGUGAAAUGCGUAGAGAUGUGGAGGAACACCAGUGGCGAAGGCGACUCUCUGGGCUGUAACUGACGCUGAGGCGCGAAAGCGUGGGGAGCAAACAGGAUUAGAUACCCUGGUAGUCCACGCCGUAACGAUGAAUGCUAGGUGUUAGGGGUUUCGAUACUCUUGGUGCCGAAGUUAACACAUUAAGCAUUCUGCCUGGGGAGUACGGUCGCAGACUGAAACUCAAAGGAAUUGACGGGACCCGCACAGCAGUGAGUAUGUGGUUUA